AUGCGCAUGAAGGGUCAUGGUGCGAAUGACUUUCCGUACGACGUGCGAUACGAGCCGUACAUUGCAAGAUUGGGUCUUCUCCCCUUUGUAUUGCAAUUCAGGCGAGCCCCACCACCGAUGAACCAUGCAGCGCUCACCGCACUUACGGAUCGUUGGAGGCCCGAGACACACUCUUUCCACCUUGCUUGUGGGGAGAUGACGAUGACCCUAGAGGACAUGGCCAUGAUAAGCGACCUUCCUAUCAACGGCUUAGCUGUUACGGGUCAUGUUAGUGCCGUUAACUGUCGAGCUCGGUUUGGUGAUUUAAUUGGUGUUCAGCCCCCUCUUCCUUUGUCAGGCAAGGCUGGUAGCUCUAAAGUGAAGCAUUCCCGGCUAAAAGAAGUCACAUGAGCAAACAACCUGUGCCCUGCGGAUGCCGAUGAGAUGGUUGUGCAGCAGUAUGCUCGGGUCUAUCUUUGGUACGUACUAACCAAAGUGCUCUUCACAGACGCAACUGGGAACUCAUCCCUCUGGAUGUAUUUGGAGCUACUCACGGAGUGGAUACUCAGUAUAGCUGGGGUUCAGCAGCACUAGCAUACUUGUAUCGUCAGUUGGAUCGGGCGUCAACGAGGACAGAAGACACAUCUUCAUUGUGCAGGUUUGUGUGAAGCCUCUCUGUAUGGAUGUCGGAGCGGUUGUCGGUUGGACGGCCCGUGAUAAAAAAAACGAUAAUCCAAACCCCCAAACCUCAUGAAGGGCUUCAUGAUCAAGAUCCAUAUCGCCGCCCCACAAUUGUCUAUUGUUGGGAUCAGGUGUCUAUUUACACCGGAAGCUCUCAUGUGCGAUACAAGUGUUAUGUUAACGAGCUGGACACCUUAACUACUGAGGAGGUUUUUUGAUGGCCUUAUGAGAAUGAUUAUGAUUUCAACCUCAACGAGAUGUGCACGCGUGAUAAUCUUCUUUGGCGGGCGAGGUGUCCAAUGAUAUUCUUUUACACUGUCGAGUGGCACUUUGUAGACCGUGUUGCGAGGCAAUUUGGAAAACUACAAGGUAUUCCAAUUGAGGAGAGCAAGGAGACAAUCACAAAGCUACAUAGGUUCAGUCGAAGGAACAAUUAGGAUAUAUCGGAUUGGGCGAACAAACACAAUCAAUAGAUAGCAAUGUGGAAUCAGGGAGAGACGUUAGUGGAGUUAGAGAAUAGACCCCGCAAUGACUCAACAUACCAAAAAUAGCUUGUGUGGUAUGGGCACCGUUACCGGUUGAAGCUUAAGCCCGGUUGGACUCAAGUGGAGUGGUCCGAGUUGGUGUCGGAAGACCCAUCAGCUGCAGAAGGUUAUCAUUCCUUCAACAUGGAUGUGCGAGAGACCGUAGGGAGUCAAGUUGACUACGCACCCA
This is a long non-coding RNA of Hordeum vulgare subsp. vulgare (domesticated barley), 1374 nucleotides long. RefSeq lists it as uncharacterized. The transcript is spliced from 4 exons. The record is from RefSeq and is a predicted model, not a curated record. NCBI's taxonomy places the organism in Eukaryota, Viridiplantae, Streptophyta, Magnoliopsida, Poales, Poaceae.